GGACGGUUGGAUCUGGAGUUAACAGAUAUAACAAAAGACUUGAGUUAAAUAGAAAAAUACAGUUUCAAGGUGUUGUAAGUACAGCAAUACAAAUAACCGUCCUCGUGCUCUUUGUCAGAAAGCGACACCUGUAGGUGCGCAUCUCUUCGACCACAAAACCGCCAACAGAUGGUGCCUUCCGCCUCAGGAUCGUGAGGAGUGAGCUGUCAGAAUAUUUCAAUGGAGAACAAGGAUGCCAGCCGAGGUCCUGAGUACGCAGAAAAGACCGCAACACAAUAAAAACGGCGGGACUGCUGGUAAACAGGGGUUUGUAAAAAGGAAAAUCAGACUGAAAUCAAAUAGCUUACAUUUUGUACUUUGUUAACUAAGAAAAAUGUUGUGCAUCUGAAUUCAGAUGAUAUAAUAUCGUAAGAUUGAGUAACCCCUUUCCUCGUUAUUUUUGGGAACGUGGGUAUAAAAUGCAUCACUACGUAAAUAAAUUUUUCAUUGUUUUUUCUCCAACGUAUUUUAUUUUUUGACUCUGUGCUUUGAAUUCAGUGGGAUUCAACACACACCUGUUAUAUAAUCACAUUUUGUUUGGCGUUUCUUCCGAGUAAAUAAUGGUGAUGUCAUCCUCCCCUGACGGAUGCAGAGGAAAAACUCACUCAUCUUGCCUAAGCGCCUGUAAACAUGGAUGACCACUUGAAUUAUCGAUGCACUAUAUACGAUUUAAAUUACUUGUGUGAAAUAGACUGUCGGUAUGCAGAAAAGAAAAUACAUUUAAGAAUGUUUGUACUUUUUAGUUAGCUUUCCUCAUGUGAUGGGCAAUCUUGAAAUGUUGCUCAAUUAAAACGGUCUUUUUAUAUUCCAACUGCGCUAAGGAUGAACAUCACUUUUGAUAGUUGUUUUCUACUGUCAUUUCGUUUUAUUAAGUUGUUAAUUCUGUUUGCUGUUUCAAUAUUGACAACUGAAUAGCGAAGAAAAGUAAACUGUUUUUAAACUACUGAAAUGGUGAAACGGCCUUGCGUUCGCAGAAUUGUGUAGAAGUGUUAAGGCAGAUAAUGCUGAUUGGAACAAUGCAAGAAAGGGUAGCGAUUCACGUUUACCGUACAUAAGCUGUUUUAUACAUCGCACAAACUGUAGUUCAAUUGCAGUGCUGAAUGUGUAUUAUAAAGAAUGUGUUCUUUACAUGCUAAGUAAUAUUUAUUACAUUGUGAAUCCUGUUAUCACUUAAGGUUUAUACAAUACGGAUUUAAAAAAUAAAAUGUUUUUAUGCCAU
This is a long non-coding RNA of Esox lucius (northern pike), 1258 nucleotides long. RefSeq lists it as uncharacterized. The transcript is spliced from 2 exons. Lineage: Eukaryota; Metazoa; Chordata; Actinopteri; Esociformes; Esocidae. The record is from RefSeq and is a predicted model, not a curated record.